AAAACUAGCUAAUAGCUAGUAUAAACUAAGCUGCUGCGAUUUAACGUUACAAGUCAUGUUACUGUCAAAAUAAUAAUGAACGCCUCUCAUUCGCUAAUAAAUCUGCACAGCGUCUCGCGUUGACCUUUUACGAGAGUAACGUUAGAGUUGCUUGCCAGGUAAAAACAAGAACAUGUGCGACAGCGCCGACACGGUUUACAGUGCACCAUCAAAUCUAAAAUCUGAAGUUUGGAAGACAUUUGGAUGUUACAAGAAGGAAGGAAAACUGGACAAAGUCUGGCCAUUUGCAAGGUACAACAACAAGGCAUGCCAUUAUAGUCCACCGACAGGAGUAUUUCUCAGAAUCUGAGGUCUUUCAACUGCCCCGCCAGAGACGGGCCUGAUAAGGCCCUCCCCGUCUUCGAGGUAUUCGCAAGGAUGUUCGGCAGCAGUGAAGAUUCA
Megalops cyprinoides (Indo-Pacific tarpon) is the source of this 441-nucleotide long non-coding RNA. RefSeq lists it as uncharacterized. Lineage: Eukaryota; Metazoa; Chordata; Actinopteri; Elopiformes; Megalopidae. The record is from RefSeq and is a predicted model, not a curated record. The transcript is spliced from 3 exons.